This 774-nucleotide ribosomal RNA is filed under the name uncultured Neocallimastigales. RNAcentral's name for it is "partial large subunit ribosomal RNA". It matches the Rfam family "Eukaryotic large subunit ribosomal RNA", at positions 24 to 616 of the family's 3401-position model. The record is from RNAcentral. Lineage: Eukaryota; Fungi; Neocallimastigomycota; Neocallimastigomycetes; Neocallimastigales.
UACGACUACAUAUCAGGCAUAUCAAUAAGCGGAGGAAAAGAAACUAACUAGGAUUCCCUUAGUAACGGCGAGUGAAGCGGGAAGAGCUCAAAUUUGAAAUCUUCAAGGUUUUACCUUGACGAAUUGUAGCUUAAAGAAGUGUUUUCUAUUGGAGUUUUGGUAAAAGUUCUUUGGAAUAGGACAUCAUAGAGGGUGAGAAUCCCGUAUUUGACCAUUAUUUUCAGCUGUGUGAUACACUUUCAAAGAGUCGGAUUGUUUGGGAAUGCAGUCCAAAAUGGGUGGUAAAUUUCAUCUAAAGCUAAAUAUUGGCGAGAGACCGAUAGCGAACAAGUACCGUGAGGGAAAGAUGAAAAGAACUUUGAAAAGAGAGUUAAACAGUACGUGAAAUUGUCAAAAGGGAAGCGUUUGACACCAGUGUUGUUUUCUCGAAAAUCAAUUAAAAAGAGUUGGAUUUUGUGUUGUAUUGACCUUAACAGCUUGCUUCACUCUUUUCCAGCUUUUUUUAAUGCACUUUUCGUUUAACAAGUCAACAUCAGUUUCUUUUGUUGUAAAAGGGUCAUUGGAAGGUGGCUUUCUCUUCGGAGAAAGUGUUUAUAGCCUUUGAUCUCUGCAAUCGGAGAGACUGAGGUCUGCAGCGUAGAUCCUUCGGGGUUAGAUACAUUUGUGCUAAGCUACAGCUUUUCAUAGACAACUUGUUGACUAUGUUUAGUCUUGUGACUUACCCGCUUAUGCUAUUUUACCUACGCUUAGGAUGUUGAGCGCAUGUCUCUCUCU